Molecule: ribosomal RNA, 773 nt
Filed under: uncultured Neocallimastigales
Lineage: Eukaryota; Fungi; Neocallimastigomycota; Neocallimastigomycetes; Neocallimastigales
Description: partial large subunit ribosomal RNA
Rfam family: Eukaryotic large subunit ribosomal RNA
Source: RNAcentral
UCAGACGAUGCGUCAUGCAUAUCAAUAAGCGGAGGAAAAGAAACUAACAAGGAUUCCCUUAGUAACGGCGAGUGAAGCGGGAAGAGCUCAAAUUUGAAAUCUUCAAGGUUUUACCUUGACGAAUUGUAGUUUAAAGAAGUGUUCUCUGUUGAAGUUUUGGUAAAAGUUCUUUGGAAUAGGACAUCAUAGAGGGUGAGAAUCCCGUAUUUGACCAUUACUUUCAGCUUUGUGAUACACUUUCAAAGAGUCGGAUUGUUUGGGAAUGCAGUCCAAAAUGGGUGGUAAAUUUCAUCUAAAGCUAAAUAUUGGCGAGAGACCGAUAGCGAACAAGUACCGUGAGGGAAAGAUGAAAAGAACUUUGAAAAGAGAGUUAAACAGUACGUGAAAUUGUCAAAAGGGAAGCGUUUGACACCAGUGUUGUUUUUCUGAAAAUCAAUUAAAGAACUGUUUAUGCUAAGUUGUUUAGACUUUAUCAGCUAACUGUUUAGUUUUGAGCUUUUCUUUAAUGCACUUUUCAGUUAACAAGUCAACAUCAAUUUCUUUGCUGUAAAAAAGCUUGAGGAAGGUGGCUUGAGAUUCGUCUUAAGUGUUUAUAGCCUCUUGCCUAUGCAGUCGGAGAGAUUGAGGUCUGCAGCGUAGAUCCUUCGGGGCUAAAUGCAUUUGUGCUAAGUUAUAGCAUUUUAUAGACAACUUGUUGACUAUGAUUUGUCUUGUAGCUUACUCGCUUAUGUUAUUUUACCUACGCUUAGGAUGUUGAAGUCAUCGUAUCGCGC